This 505-nucleotide ribosomal RNA is filed under the name Flavonifractor sp. An52. RNAcentral describes it as "bacterial LSU rRNA". It matches the Rfam family "Bacterial large subunit ribosomal RNA", at positions 1 to 509 of the family's 2925-position model. Lineage: Bacteria; Bacillati; Bacillota; Clostridia; Eubacteriales; Oscillospiraceae. The record is from RNAcentral.
AGGUCAAGCUAUAAAGAGCGCAAGGGGAAUGCCUUGGCAUCAGGAGCCGAUGAAGGACGUGACAAGCUGCGAUAAGCUGCGGUGAGCUGCACAUAAGCAUUGACCCGCAGAUUUCCGAAUGGGGAAACCCGGCAGAGCAAUACUCUGUCAGCCUGCGUUGAAUCAAAUAGGCGUAGGUGGGGAACCGCCUGAACUGAAACAUCUAAGUAGGGCGAGGAAGAGAAAUCAACAGAGAUUCCGCAAGUAGUGGCGAGCGAACGCGGAAGAGGGCAAACCGAAGGAUUUAUCCUUUGGGGUUGUGGACCGACACAACGGCAGGAUAGGUUAGCCGAACGGUAUGGGAAGGCCGGCCAUAGCGGGUGAGAGCCCCGUAGGCGAAAACCGAGUCCUGUUAGUCGAGUUCCAGAGUACCGCCGGACACGUGAAACCCGGUGGGAAACUGGGGGGACCACCCUCCAACCCUAAAUACUACCUGAUGACCGAUAGAGGAGCAGUACCGUGAGGG